AUGCAACGCGAAGAACCUUACCUGGUCUUGACAUCCACAGAACUUUCCAGAGAUGGAUUGGUGCCUUCGGGAACUGUGAGACAGGUGCUGCAUGGCUGUCGUCAGCUCGUGUUGUGAAAUGUUGGGUUAAGUCCCGCAACGAGCGCAACCCUUAUCCUUUGUUGCCAGCGGUUCGGCCGGGAACUCAAAGGAGACUGCCAGUGAUAAACUGGAGGAAGGUGGGGAUGACGUCAAGUCAUCAUGGCCCUUACGACCAGGGCUACACACGUGCUACAAUGGCAUAUACAAAGAGAAGCGACCUCGCGAGAGCAAGCGGACCUCAUAAAGUAUGUCGUAGUCCGGAUUGGAGUCUGCAACUCGACUCCAUGAAGUCGGAAUCGCUAGUAAUCGUAGAUCAGAAUGCUACGGUGAAUACGUUCCCGGGCCUUGUACACACCGCCCGUCACACCAUGGGAGUGGGUUGCAAAAGAAGUAGGUAGCUUAACCUUCGGGAGGGCGCUUACCACUUUGUGAUUCAUGACUGGGGUGAAGUCGUAACAAGGUAACCGUAGGGGAACCUGCGGUUGGAUCACCUCCUUACCUUAAAGAA
Molecule: ribosomal RNA, 589 nt
Filed under: Klebsiella pneumoniae
Lineage: Bacteria; Pseudomonadati; Pseudomonadota; Gammaproteobacteria; Enterobacterales; Enterobacteriaceae
Description: bacterial SSU rRNA
Rfam family: Bacterial small subunit ribosomal RNA
Source: RNAcentral